This 492-nucleotide ribosomal RNA is filed under the name uncultured bacterium. Its description in RNAcentral is "partial 16S ribosomal RNA". It matches the Rfam family "Bacterial small subunit ribosomal RNA", at positions 29 to 507 of the family's 1533-position model. The record is from RNAcentral.
AGUGAACGCUGGCGGUAGGCCUAACACAUGCAAGUCGAACGGCAGCACAGUAAGAGCUUGCUCUUACGGGUGGCGAGUGGCGGACGGGUGAGGAAUACAUCGGAAUCUACUUUUUCGGGGGGGAUAACGUAGGGAAACUUACGCUAAUACCGCAUACGACCUACGGGUGAAAGCAGGGGAUCUUCGGACCUUGCGCGAAUGAAUGAGCCGAUGUCGGAUUAGCUAGUUGGCGGGGUAAAGGCCCACCAAGGCGACGAUCCGUAGCUGGUCUGAGAGGCUGGUCAGCCACCCUGGAACUGAGCCACGGUCCAGACUCCUACGGGAGGCAGCAGUGGGGAAUAUUGGACAAUGGGCGCAAGCCUGAUCCAGCCAUACCGCGUGGGUGAAGAAGGCCUUCGGGUUGUAAAGCCCUUUUGUUGGGAAAGAAAAGCAGCAGGUUAAUACCCCGCUGUUCUGACGGUACCCAAAGAAUAAGCACCGGCUAACUUCGUG